Molecule: long non-coding RNA, 1067 nt
Filed under: Anas platyrhynchos platyrhynchos (common mallard)
Lineage: Eukaryota; Metazoa; Chordata; Aves; Anseriformes; Anatidae
Description: lncRNA (ENSAPLG00000016670.1)
Source: RNAcentral
GAGCAGACAAGAAUGUGUACGCCAUGUGCUGGCUUUGAAAAAGCCUUGGAAAUUCAAUAGAGCUGUUAUUUAAGCGGCCAGAGAAGUAGUAACCAUGAGCUGACAACGAACAAUAUACCAGGCAGCUGUUAACAUCACGUUGCAUGUAAGGCAGACAAGCCCCUUUCCUGAGGAUGUUACAAGCUGAAAUGUUAUUUUAAUAGCUAAAACUGCUGCAGUGAUAGUAGCAAAACACGACUUCAUUAUCAAAACCCUUACCAAGCUGGAAAGAAAAAUCAGCGUUGCUACAUAAGAAAAUUAUAAAUCUCAUUUUAAAAACAGUUUUGGAGUAGAUGAUUUUUAAUUGCUUAAAGAAUUCUGGUGCUGAUGGCUUGGCUUCAGUGGGAGGUGGCUUGAAAGAAGGGGCAAUGGAAAUCCUGCAGGGUUGCAGGUGGAUGGCAGCCACCACCAUGGACAUGCCUGUUUCCUGGAGCGUUGCUCAAGUUGACUAGCAAGAACGAAGCAAGCAAAGGGCAUGCCAGCUGCCUUGAGUACCACAGGGGAUUUUGUUGGAAUGAGCACACCUUUGUGCAAUACUGAUCUCAAUCAGCCCUUUCUGAUGGGCAACCUUUCUGCUGAAAAGCAGUUGCUGUGUCUCACAGUUUUAUACCUUGGAUCCCAUCGUGGACUGACUGCCUGAAGACAUGAUCGUUCUCUGAGAUGGUUUCCACAUAAGGAAUUUAGCUGCAACCAGCCAAGGAAUGGAUGGGUGUUAUAGGAAGAUUACAUGGCAGAUGGAAGAAGACGUGCAUUUCUAUUUUGAUGCAGUGGUAGAUAUAAGGAAUGGAUCUCUAAAGCAGCUCACUUCAGAAUAGGAUUGGAGCACAGAAAAUAGGCAGAAUGGACCCCCAGAUCUUCAUCCAUCAAGAGAAGGGUGGCAUCACUUGGACAGGAGGGUGUCGAGGGGCUGGUUGGGUGAUCUGGCCCUUCCUUCAGUGAGAGGAAGGCACAGCAAAGCUUGGUAUUAUGUAUACAUGCACAUAUACUCUCCUGACAGAGCACAACCACCCAGAAACAGGAGCAGAACU